GACGAACGCUGGCGGCGUGCCUAACACAUGCAAGUCGAGCGAGGAGGAGGAAGCUUGCUUCCGAAUCCUAGCGGCGGACGGGUGAGUAACGCGUGAGCAACCUGCCUUUUACUGGGGGAUAACGCAUCGAAAGAUGUGCUAAUACCGCGUAAGACCACGGUACCGCAUGGUACAGGGGUCAAAGGAGCAAUCCGGUAAAAGAUGGGCUCGCGUCCGAUUAGCUAGUUGGUGAGAUAACAGCCCACCAAGGCAAUGAUGGGUAGCCGGCCUGAGAGGGUGAACGGCCACAAGGGGACUGAGACACGGCCCUU
Molecule: ribosomal RNA, 311 nt
Filed under: uncultured bacterium
Lineage: Bacteria
Description: bacterial SSU rRNA
Rfam family: Bacterial small subunit ribosomal RNA
Source: RNAcentral